GAUGAACGCUGGCGGCGUGCCUAAUACAUGCAAGUCGAGCGAACGGACGAGAAGCUUGCUUUUCUGAUGUUAGCGGCGGACGGGUGAGUAACACGUGGAUAACCUACCUAUAAGACUGGGAUAACUUCGGGAAACCGGAGCUAAUACCGGAUAAUAUUUUGAACCGCAUGGUUCAAAAGUGAAAGACGGUCUUGCUGUCACUUAUAGAUGGAUCCGCGCUGCAUUAGCUAGUUGGUAAGGUAACGGCUUACCAAGGCAACGAUGCAUAGACGACCUGAGAGGGUGAUCGGCCACACGGGAACUGGGACGCGGUCCAGACUCCUACGGGAGGCAGCAGUAGGGAAUCUUCGGCAACGGGCGAAAGCCUGACGGAGCAACGGCGCGUGAGUGAUGAAAGUCUUCGGAUCGUAAAACUGUGUUAUUAGGGAAGAACAUAUGUGUAAGGAACUGUGCACAUCUUGACGGUACCGAAUCAGAAAGCCACGGCUAACUACGUG
Molecule: ribosomal RNA, 497 nt
Filed under: uncultured bacterium
Lineage: Bacteria
Description: partial 16S ribosomal RNA
Rfam family: Bacterial small subunit ribosomal RNA
Source: RNAcentral